GUGGGUAACCUGCCCAUAAGACUGGGAUAACUCCGGGAAACCGGGGCUAAUACCGGAUAACAUUUUGAACUGCAUGGUUCGAAAUUGAAAGGCGGCUUCGGCUGUCACUUAUGGAUGGACCCGCGUCGCAUUAGCUAGUUGGUGAGGUAACGGCUCACCAAGGCAACGAUGCGUAGCCGACCUGAGAGGGUGAUCGGCCACACUGGGACUGAGACACGGCCCAGACUCCUACGGGAGGCAGCAGUAGGGAAUCUUCCGCAAUGGACGAAAGUCUGACGGAGCAACGCCGCGUGAGUGAUGAAGGCUUUCGGGUCGUAAAACUCUGUUGUUAGGGAAGAACAAGUGCUAGUUGAAUAAGCUGGCACCCUUGACGGUACCUAACCAGAAAGCCACGGCUAACUACGUGCCAGCAGCCGCGGUAAUACGUAGUGGCAAGCGUUAUC
Molecule: ribosomal RNA, 443 nt
Filed under: Bacillus sp. F198
Lineage: Bacteria; Bacillati; Bacillota; Bacilli; Caryophanales; Bacillaceae
Description: bacterial SSU rRNA
Rfam family: Bacterial small subunit ribosomal RNA
Source: RNAcentral